AACUGCCCACAUUCUUGUCCC
This 21-nucleotide microRNA is filed under the name Callorhinchus milii (elephant shark). RNAcentral's name for it is "eshark_mir-17_7". The record is from RNAcentral. Lineage: Eukaryota; Metazoa; Chordata; Chondrichthyes; Chimaeriformes; Callorhinchidae.